RNAcentral lists this long non-coding RNA (251 nucleotides) under Homo sapiens (human). RNAcentral describes it as "HSALNT0313335". Lineage: Eukaryota; Metazoa; Chordata; Mammalia; Primates; Hominidae. The record is from RNAcentral.
CAGCACUUCCUCUCUACCUCAGUUGUCACAUGGUAUUCUUCCUGUCCUGUUGGUGAGUGUGCUUAUUCAGAUGGAGCCUAGACAGUUUGUGAACACUGAUUCUGCUCUUAUGGAGCUUCUUGGUACUGGCACUGAAUGGUGUGCCUUAAAGUGAAGCCUGAAUGUCUCAGAUUGAUUUCAAACAAAUGCAGCAACAAAUCAAGGUGUUCUUCCUUGGGAAGUGAUGGGUGUUUUGCCUACUGUCAAUCUCU